AGUGAACGCUGGCGGCGUGCUUAACACAUGCAAGUCGAGCGGUAUUAAAAAUUUGUAGUAGCAAUAUUACAGUUUUUUGGUAUAGCGGCAGACGGGUGAGUAAUACAUGGGAAUCUACCUUAUAGAUUGGGAUAACAUGCAGAAAUGUGUGCUAAUACCAAAUAACAGCCGAGAGGCAAAAGACGAAAGUCGCUAUAAGACGAGCCUUUGCGGGAUUAGCUAGUUGUUGAGGUAAUGGCUCAACAAGGCAACGAUCUCUAGUUGAUCUGAGAGGAUGAUCAGCCACACUAGAACUGAGACACGGUCUAGACUUCUACGGAGGGCAGCAGUGAGGAAUAUUGGACAAUGGGCGAAAGCCUGAUCCAGCAACGCCGCGUGAGUGCUAAGGCCUUAGGGCUGUAAAACUCUUUUAAUGGGGAAGAAGGAGAAAUCCGUGACGGUACCCAUAGAAAAAGCCCCGGCUAACUUCGUGCCAGCAGCCGCGGUAAUACGAAGGGGGCUAGCGUUACUCGGAAUUAUUGGGCGUAAAGCGUGCGUAGGCUGAUUGUAAAGUCAUUGGUGAAAUCCUUGAGCUCAACUCAAGAACUGCCGUUGAUACUGACAAUCUUGAAUAACGGAGAGGAUAAUGGAAUUCCUAGUGGAAAGGUGAAAUUUUGUGAUAUUAGGAGGAACACCGAUGGCGAAAGCGAUUAUCUGGUCGAUUAUUGACGCUGUUGCACGAAAGUAUGGGGAGCAAACAGGAUUAGAUACCCUGGUAGUCCAUACAGUAAACUAUGAGUGCUGGAUGUCGGAUUUAUUUUCGGUGUCGAAGCUAACGCGUUAAGCACUCCGCCUGGGGAGUACGGUCGCAAGACUAAAACUUAAAGGAAUUGACGGGGACCCGCACAAGCGGUGGAACAUGUGGUUUAAUUCGAUGCUACGCGAAAAACCUUACCAAGUCUUGACAUGAUAUUCAUAGCUAUUUGGGAUAACUAGAUAGUCGUUUAGUCGGAAUAUCACAGGUGCUGCAUGGCUGUCGUCAGCUCGUGUCGUGAGAUGUUGGGUUAAGUCCCGCAACGAGCGCAACCCCUAUUUUUAGUUGCUACCAGUUCGGCUGGGCCACUCUAGAAAAACUGCUGAUGAUAAAUCAGAGGAAGGUGGGGAUGAGGUCAAGUCAGCAUGGCCCUUAUGACUUGGGCUACACACGUGUUACAAUGGUGAUUACAAUGGGCUGCAAUGAGGCGACUCGGAGCUUAAUCCUUAAAAAUCACCCCAGUUCGGAUUGUACUCUGCAACUCGAGUACAUGAAGCAGGAAUCGCUAGUAAUCGCGGAUCAGCAUGCCGCGGUGAAUACGUUCCCGGGUCUUGUACACACUGCCCGUCACGCCAUGGGAGUUGAUCUUGCUUUAAGUGCGCGAGCUAACCGAAAGGGGGUAACGCACCACAGCAGGGUUGAUGACUGAGGUA
This 1446-nucleotide ribosomal RNA is filed under the name Candidatus Defluviella procrastinata. RNAcentral's name for it is "bacterial SSU rRNA". It matches the Rfam family "Bacterial small subunit ribosomal RNA". The record is from RNAcentral. Lineage: Bacteria; Pseudomonadati; Pseudomonadota; Alphaproteobacteria; Rickettsiales; Candidatus Midichloriaceae.